Molecule: long non-coding RNA, 553 nt
Organism: Oncorhynchus keta (chum salmon)
Lineage: Eukaryota; Metazoa; Chordata; Actinopteri; Salmoniformes; Salmonidae
Exons: 2
Source: RefSeq, a predicted model, not a curated record
GAGUUGUUGGAGACAAAAUACAUGCAGCCUCCAGCAUAUUGUUACUGAAGCUGAACCAAACACUCAGACUCACUAUCAAUUCUCAUCACCAUGAAGAUGAUGUUGACCAUCGCUCUGCUCCUCAGUGUUGGCUUUGCACUGACUGAUGCAAUGUCUGUUCCAGAAUUGAGAAACGACCUGAACAGACCAGGUUGGAAGGUCAUCAAGAACUGUGUGAAAGUGACAACGACCGUGGUGGAGGAGUUUGACAACAUGCCGCCGCAGGAGAAGGAGACGGUUCAGAUCUUCGGGGGACCAGAGUGUGAGAACGACAAUGAGAGAAGCAAAAGAGGAUUUGUUCGCAUCGGCCGACAACUCUCCAAUUACUGAAGCCUUGAGUAGUGUCACCUGGAGAAGACUGGCCUGGCCUCCCCAGUUUACGUACGUGGCCCUUGACUGUAGGUAUCCGGUGACAGUGGACGAUCCAGUACAGUGACGGGCAGUGAAGACGACAUGGGAAUGUGGGAUAAUCAUGAAUUAGAAAGUUCAAUUAAAUUUAUUGGAUUCACUCCAA